AAACAACACGUGGUUUCAAUUUGUAUUUAUACAGGUCGAUUCGUUAGCGGCGGCAGUGGCGAUGCUCUGGAAACCUCACGUCGGCUGCAGACUCCGCUCCACCAUCAGCGCGGCAUCCGCAAUGUCACAGCGGGCACGGGCAGUCGGAAUCUGGCGAUCGCGCAAAUAUGAAUGUGUCGUGAAACCCCGCCACCACCCGACGCAAGCCAAUGUGCCCGACGCCAGUGCCUCCUCCUGCCCCCGUGGGUCCCGGCGCAGUUGCACCGCCUGUGCACUUGUACGCGACCGCUGGCUGAGUCCGAUUGAAGUUUUUGUUCACGCUGACACGACUUCUACAGCCUCGGUUUUCUCCUGAGUACACCGCGCAGUCUUCUAUUGUGUUUGUUUUGUUUACUUGCAUUGUUUACCAAUAGUCCACUGUACAGUACUUCUCGA
Long non-coding RNA from Lethenteron reissneri (Far Eastern brook lamprey), 435 nucleotides. RefSeq lists it as uncharacterized. The record is from RefSeq and is a predicted model, not a curated record. Lineage: Eukaryota; Metazoa; Chordata; Hyperoartia; Petromyzontiformes; Petromyzontidae.